UAUUUAUUAGAUAAAAAACCAAUGCCCUUCGGGGCUCCUUGGUGAAUCAUAAUAACUUAACGAAUCGCAUGGCCUCGCGCCGGCGAUGGUUCAUUCAAAUUUCUGCCCUAUCAACUUUCGAUGGUAGGAUAGUGGCCUACCAUGGUAUCAACGGGUAACGGGGAAUUAGGGUUCGACUCCGGAGAGGGAGCCUGAGAAACGGCUACCACAUCCAAGGAAGGCAGCAGGCGCGCAAAUUACCCAAUCCCGACACGGGGAGGUAGUGACAAUAAAUACUGAUACAGGGCUCUUUUGGGUCUUGUAAUUGGAAUGAGUACAAUUUAAAUCCCUUAACGAGGAACAAUUGGAGGGCAAGUCUGGUGCCAGCAGCCGCGGUAAUUCCAGCUCCAAUAGCGUAUAUUAAAGUUGUUGCAGUUAAAAAGCUCGUAGUUGAACCUUGGGCCUGGCUGGCCGGUCCGCCUCACCGCGUGUACUGGUCCGGCCGGGCCUUUCCUUCUGGGGAACCUCAUGCCCUUCACUGGGCGUGUUGGGGAACCAGGACUUUUACUUUGAAAAAAUUAGAGUGUUCAAAGCAGG
This 576-nucleotide ribosomal RNA is filed under the name uncultured eukaryote. Its description in RNAcentral is "SSU rRNA". It matches the Rfam family "Eukaryotic small subunit ribosomal RNA", at positions 203 to 784 of the family's 1831-position model. The record is from RNAcentral.